CUCCAGGAAUACUUGAUGGACAUGAUUUCCUACAGGCAAAAGGAAAUAAACAGCUCUGCAUACGUAAAGGGCUGAGGUCAUUGCCCCUUGGUGUUUCUCACCUGGCAGGAGAGAGGAGGGGCUGUAGAAUUUAGCAGGGAGACAAUGAUGGUGACUCAGUGCUGAAAGUUUCCCGCAAGCAGACACAGGCCACUUUCCCUGUGUCUACUCACAAGCUCACCCAAGAAAGAGCCUAUGCCUUCGGGGCUCAUCUCCUCCCUGUCAUCUCUCUCCUCACAACUAAAAGGAAGGCCUAGAACAGCUCCACUCAGGGAAUGAGUGCAGGAGAAUCACCAGGACAUGGUGGGCCAAUGCAGAUUUGGAUUCAGUAGCUCCUGGGUGGUAGGACCUCACAGUCUGCAUCUCUACUAAACUCCAGCUCCUGGUGACCUUGAAUCUACUUUCUGCUGCUGAGAAUUUACCUAUUUUGGAUGCUUCAUGAGACGAUUCCUCUUAGCAAAAGGGCACUGUGUACCCUCCAAGGCUGGAAAUGAUAGGUUUUCGGCGAGGAGUGAAAAUAUUGUGCUGACAGCCCUUUGCCUGUGUAGAGCAGGGUUGUUUACUCGCGCUGGAGCACAGCUUUAUUGAAGCAGAGAGUCAUGGUCCCAUCAUCAGGGUUGCCUAGCAACCAGUCUACGCCACUCCACAGAGUUUCAGAAUGGGCUGGACCACAAGUACCCACUUUGGGGGAUUUCCAGUGACAGUCCUACUCUCACUCCAUCACAUCGCUUCUAAAAUCUGAGUCACAUGGUUCAAAUUUCACAGUACAAAGUGUGUUCUUCAGAUCUGGGGUUCUCUCCAAAAUGGAUAAUCAUUAUUGAUUUUGUAAUGCAAUGCCAAGACCAUCAGUAAGAAAGAAAAUAAAAGAGACUGAGAAACCACAGAAAUAAAGAAGCGCUGAUGACAAUGCCUGCUUGCUGAUGGUUACGAUGAUCAUAGCAGUGUGCAUUUUGUAUGCAUGAAGCCUGCGACUAAAUAAACGUGUGGGGAAAUAUUUGUAAGGAAAUAAGCUAUUAAUAAAAUAAGCUAAAAUCACAGUUGCUGGACUAUGACUGAUUUUUCCCCUUUCUCUCAUUUAAAAUUAAAUAUUUGUAUGACUUGUAUAAUAGAAAAAUACAUGUAUUCAAUCUUAAAAAGAUAUUCUUAUUUUACACUUUACGGGACAAAAGAGGUUGUAGGUUGGAAUGGUUCAGUCCCCUUGUGACAACUCAAAAACAGAGACCUUAAGCCUUUCUCAACCAAUGUUGCGGGACAAGCAGGCGUGUGAGGCGACAAUGCCAUUAGGGUAUUUUUUGGAAAAAUUUUAGUGUGAGAGACAAAAGCCAAAUUCAAACUGGCCUGAGCCAAAAUAGGUAGGAAAGGGAGAAGCGGAGACAGGGAGGAAGAAAGAGAGAGAACAGAAAGAAAAAGGGAGAAAUGUCGAAAGGCAAAAUUACAACACAUUUAGUUAAAUGAUUGAAUUGGUUUUUAUUUGUAAUUCAUGAAUUGGGGCAGCAUCUCCUCUAAAACUUUAGGAAAAGUGCUCUGAUGAGCUAAACAGAGAAGCUUGGCUUUAUAGGCAGAAAAGGGUGAAGAAAGCAGACACAGGGAACAAAAAGCAGAUUGGUAAGCUCAGGUUACUUCAGGUUACUUUCCUUAUAAAGGUUAAAGUAGAGGGGACUUCCUUAUCAUGCUGGCUACAACUGGCCUGUUUGGGGAUUUGCAUAUUAUCUCUCUCUGUCUUGAGUUCUGGGAAGGUCUGAUGACUUAGUUUCAGUUUGGUGAUAUGGAACUUAGCAUGAGUGACUCCAUCUUGGUUUGGUCUACUGGGGCCUCCUGCAGGAGCUCAGCCCAAAUCAGUGACCUCCUAUAAAUUUCAUUUAAUAGAAAAGGAAGGAAGGAAGGAAGGAAGGAAGGAAGGAAGGAAGGAAGGAAGGAAGGGAGGGAGGGAGGGAGGGAGGGAGGGAGGAAGGGAGGAAAGAAGGAAGGAAAGAAAGAAAGUUGCUUAUAAGUUGCUUAUAACUAAAAAGACCAGCUGGACCCAGGAGCUCUGAGGUUGCUUUCAGGCCUCUGUCCAUCUCUUAGUUUUCCAUCCUCAGACAGGCUCUGCCCUGCCUUACAGUCUAGCAUUGUUGGCCAAAGGUGACUGACUGGCCCAGCUUGGGCUAUAUGUCCUUCCCUGUGGCCAGAGAGAUGUGUCUCUGUGAUGGCCAGGCUUGGGUCACGUACUCCCUCCCCUACCAGAAUCACAUGAAAAGAGGGAGGAAGAGCCGCUUUCCACCAAAGGAAACUGAAGUGCUAUUGUCAGAGGGGUUGCUGGGCAGACCAAAAAGAUGACAAUAUCUGCUCCAAUCGCUCGGGUUGUUGGUGCUUGGCAGAUUUGCCCCUACGUCACUUUUCAGAUGUGGAUAAGACUGAAGGUGACCACAGGCUUCCGAGAGGAAAGCUGCCAAUGGGGGUGUGAGAGGAGGGGGAAUUCUUACUCACCAAGGUUAACACUGUGCACACUGUUCUCCGAGGAAGUGGGAAUUUCCACAUGGUGAGUUCCCUUCCCUGUACAAUGAAUUACUAUCUUGAUGAGAAACCCGUGGGCAGCUGGUUGAGAAGAGAAAGGUAUUCUCUGAAUGAGAGGGAAUUUACCACCUUCCUUUCAAUGGUGACAGUUUUUUCUGGUGUCACCGCAGGGUGUGGAUUGAUUCAUAUACAAAUAUACAUAUCUACAUAGAUGCCAUUCUGCUAGCCUCUGCAAAAUGCAUGCCUGGAGACCAUUUCUGCUGCCUAGGAGAUGUCAACUUUGUCACCACCACUCUCUCUCCACCACUCCCACACCCUGCAGGGGCCAGGUGUGUGGGUGGGGAGCUCCCCAGCUGGAGGCCAGAUUAGAGGUCUCUGUGUGGUGGGGAUGGGGAGGAUGGGGUGGGAAUGAGGUGGUAGGCCACUGGCAGUGGUCCAAGUUCCAUCCAGGAUCUGUCCUAGGCCUCUCCCCAGGCUGUCGCUUCCACCAUUGAAUUUCUAACCUGGAUCUCUAAGGUUAUGAAUAUCUCAUUCCCGCAUCCUGGGGUGCUCAGACAUGUCUCCCCUGAGUCUCUAGCUGGGCUCGUGGCUGUGAUCAUUGUCCUCAGAGUUCCAUCCUCCCAACAAAGGGACAGAAGAAACACAGGGCCCACUUUUCUGGAUUCUGAGUUGGAGCCAAGAAAUUCUAUCUGCUGCUUCCUUCCUGUUGAAUUAUCCCCCAAGGACCCCUUAGUCCCUCCAGUCUCCUCCAGAGGCCUAUAGCUGCCCCAGCUCCCCAUGAUGGAUACCUGGCUCUUUCCUACCCAGAGGAAAACGCAGGCCCUUCCCCAGCCCUGCACUGAACUCCUGUGAGUGGCUGAGGAGAUGAGGAGGUGUGAAGAGUGAGUGUGUUGGGGAGGGAGGGGUCCCCUGCCACCAGGUACCAAGGACUUCUGCCAGAUCACCAGAACUGACACCUGGUUCCACCGGCCAGCUGUGAAGUGUCGGCCCUGACAUCAACAGCUGACCUCCCACAGGGCCUAAGGAAACGGAAUUGUGGGUAAAUGAAACAUUUUAUUUAUUUUAUUUUGUUUUAUUUUUAUAAAUUUUUGGGGAGACAGUUUUGCUAUGUUGCCAAGGCUGGGCUUGAUCUCCUGACCUUAAGUGAUCCUCCUACCUUGGCCUCCUGUGCUGAGAUUACAGGUGUGAAUCACCAUGCCUGGCCAAGAAGUGAAUUUGUAAAAGACAUGAGGAAAGGCCUGGUGGAAAGCUAACAGUGAAAAAAAUUUUCAAUACUUGCUAUAGAAACUAAAGAAACUCACAAUAUUUUGCUCUCUAUUGGAUCAUUUCCAUCAACAUACAAAUAAAUACCUGUUAUUUUUUCCAUCUUUAAAAAAAUGCCUUCAUUAUAAGUGAUUCAACAAAUUAAUAAACGAGAAGGGAAAAAUCUUCUCUAUAGAAGAAUUCCAAAUAGCAUAUGUAGAUACUCUCCCCUCCAGGAAGCCGAGCUUAAAUCCACUCUCUUUGAGAGUGGACUGGAUUUAGUGACUCACUUCCAAAGAGUAGAGUAUGGAAAGGGAAAAUAGUAACUUUAUAGGAAAGAAACCCAGCAGGUACCUUGUUAACCAAAUGAUGAAGGUUAACAUCACCGCUGAUAAGUCAUGUUGCUAUCAUUCACCCGCUGAUACGAUCUCAUGAGAAGGGCAAUUCCCGACUGUGGUAUUCUUCAAAUCUAUUGAGUUAUAAGAAAACAUGAGAUAAACCCAAACUGAGGAACAUUCUACAGAAUACAUGACCAGUAUUCUUCAAAGCCCUUAAGGUCAUGAUAAACAAGGGAAGACUAAGAAGUGAUCACAGAUUGGGAUGACUGAGACAUGAUGACAAAAUGCAGAGUGAUAUCUUGGAACAGAAAAAAGACAUUAGUGAGAAAAUUCAAAAAACUCUGAUUAGAGUUGAUAGUUGGGCUAUUAGUUUUAUACCAAUGUGAAUUUCUUAGUUUUGACAAAUAUACGUGAGGGAAAGCUAGGCGAAGGGUAUUCUGGAAAUCUCUACCCUGUACUGUCUUUUCAACUUUUCUAUGAAUCUAAAGCUCUUCCAAAGAUAAGUCUAUUAAAAAAAUAACAAAAACUUCCUCUAAAAUUUAAAGACGGACAAUAUCAGGUGUUGAUAAAUCUGUGGAGAAUUUGGAGCUCAUACAUUGCUGGUGAGAAUGUGAAAUUAUGUAGUUAUUUUGGAAAACAGUUCGGUAGUUCUUAUAAAAUGAAAGAUACAUCACUAAAUGACCCAACGAUUCUACUCCUUGAUAUCUACCCAGUAGGAAGGAAAUGAUGUCCGUACAAAGACUUGUAUACAAAUAUUCAUACCAUUUUUCAUCAUAAUGGCCCAAAACUAGAAACAACUCAAAUGUCCAUCAACAAGUAAUGGGUAAUCAAAUUGCGGUAUAUAUAUACAAUGAAAUAUAACUCAAUAUAAAGUAAGAAACUACUCAUAGAUACAGCAACAUGGAUAUUUCUCAAGUAUAUGCUGAGCAAAAAAAGCCAGACACAGGAGCACAUCCUAUAUGAUUCAAUUUAUACGACAUUUUAGAAAAGGCAAAACUAAUCUCAGAGACAGAAAGCAGGUCUGUGGUUGCCUGGAGCUGCGGAUUGGGGAGGGGAUGAUGGGAGAGAUUGACAAAAGGAGCACAAGGAACCUUUUGGGGUGAUGCUGGUAAUAUAUAUCUUGAUUGUUGUGGUGGUUACAUGGAUGCAUACAUUUGUCAAAAAUCAUUAAACUGUAUACUUCAAAUUUAUUAUAUGUAAAUUAUGCCUUAAUAAAGUUGAUUUUCUGAAAAGCUUUCUUUGAUCCGUUUACCCUGCCAGCUCCCCUUUUGCAAGACUCCUGAAAGAGCUGCUGAUACUCACUGUCUCCACUUCUACCCCAUAUGUUCUUUCUGAAGCCCACCCCAGCCAGGCUUCUAUUCCCAUCAUGCCAUGGAAACCAUUCUCAUCAAGGCGGCAGUGACCUCCGUGUUGCUAAAUCCAAUGAGCACUCACCACUUUCCAGUACAGUAUAUUAUUCAACCUGCUUGUUUAUUUUGUUUACUUUUCAUUGUCUAUCUACUCAAAGGCAGGAAACUGCUUUGUUCACGGCUGUAUCCCAAGUCCUAGAGUAGUGCCUGGCCCGUAGUAGCUGCCCAGUAGGUACUUGUUGAAUGAAGUAAUAAAGUUUCACCAGCAAGAGCAAACUUCCUACCUCUGGCCUAUCAGCCCAGGUCUGAGCAGACUGAUCCAGGAGACGACAGAGAAAAGGUGGAUCUGGAGGGAUCCUGCCCUGUCCCAGGAUUGGGAGAAUUGAGAGAGGCUCCGGAUUCUUCUUCAUUGUCUUUGGUUGUGCCUCGUGACCUCAGACAGACCUGGGCCUCUGGUUCGCUAGGCUGCAGCUGUGUGCUCAGAGCCACUGCCCACCGCUUAACGUCAUAGUUCUCAGGGGACCUUCCAGGAAUACUCAGAGGACAUAUGUCUGUGACUGCACUGUCCAGGGUACCAGCCACUGGCCAUGUGGCUACUGAGUACUUAUUUGGCCAGUCCCAAAUGAGAUGUGUUGAAACUGUAAAAUUUCAAAGACUUAGUACAAA
Molecule: long non-coding RNA, 6127 nt
Filed under: Homo sapiens (human)
Lineage: Eukaryota; Metazoa; Chordata; Mammalia; Primates; Hominidae
Description: HSALNT0141025
Source: RNAcentral